This 253-nucleotide ribosomal RNA is filed under the name uncultured bacterium. RNAcentral's name for it is "partial 16S ribosomal RNA". It matches the Rfam family "Bacterial small subunit ribosomal RNA", at positions 524 to 776 of the family's 1533-position model. The record is from RNAcentral.
UACAGAGGGGGCAAGCGUUGUUCGGAAUUACUGGGCGUAAAGCGUGCGCAGGCGGUGAUGUAAGACAGUUGUGAAAUCCCCGGGCUCAACCUGGGAACUGCAUCUGUGACUGCAUCGCUGGAGUGCGGCAGAGGGGGAUGGAAUUCCGCGUGUAGCAGUGAAAUGCGUAGAUAUGCGGAGGAACACCGAUGGCGAAGGCAAUCCCCUGGGCCUGCACUGACGCUCAUGCACGAAAGCGUGGGGAGCAAACAGG